AGUUUGAUCCUGGCUCAGGAUGAACGCUAGCGGCAGGCUUAAUACAUGCAAGUCGUGGGGCAGCAUGGGGUAGCAAUACCCUGAUGGCGACCGGCAAACGGGUGCGGAACACGUACGCAACCUUCCUUUAACUGGAGAAUAGCCCCUCGAAGGAGGGAUUAAUACUCCGUAACAUGAUGAUAAGGCAUCUUAUUAUUAUUAUAGCUCCGGCGGUUAAAGAUGGGCGUGCGCCUGAUUAGGUAGUUGGCGGGGUAACGGCCCACCAAGCCUGCGAUCAGUAACUGGUGUGAGAGCACGACCAGUCACACGGGCACUGAGACACGGGCCCGACUCCUACGGGAGGCAGCAGUAAGGAAUAUUGGUCAAUGGACGCAAGUCUGAACCAGCCAUGCCGCGUGGAGGAUUAAGGCCCUCUGGGUUGUAAACUCCUUUUAUCUGGGAAGAAAUCCAUAUAUUCUUAUGUGGUUGACGGUACCAGAGGAAUAAGCACCGGCUAACUCCGUGCCAGCAGCCGCGGUAAUACGGAGGGUGCAAGCGUUAUCCGGAUUCACUGGGUUUAAAGGGUGCGUAGGCGGGUAAGUAAGUCCGUGGUGAAAUCUCUGAGCUUAACUCAGAAACUGCCGUGGAUACUAUUUGCCUUGAAUAUUGUGGAGGUGAGCGGAAUAUGUCAUGUAGCGGUGAAAUGCUU
RNAcentral lists this ribosomal RNA (688 nucleotides) under uncultured bacterium. RNAcentral's name for it is "bacterial SSU rRNA". It matches the Rfam family "Bacterial small subunit ribosomal RNA", at positions 10 to 691 of the family's 1533-position model. The record is from RNAcentral.